Molecule: ribosomal RNA, 812 nt
Filed under: uncultured bacterium
Lineage: Bacteria
Description: bacterial SSU rRNA
Rfam family: Bacterial small subunit ribosomal RNA
Source: RNAcentral
GAGUNCAGAAGGGGAGAGUGGAAUNCCAUGUGUAGCGGUGAAAUGCGUAGAUAUAUGGAGGAACACCAGUGGCGAAAGCGGCUCUCUGGUCUGUCACUGACGCUGAGGCUCGAAAGCGUGGGUAGCGANCAGGAUUAGAUACCCUGGUAGUCCACGCCGUAAACGAUGAGUGCUAGGUGUUAGGCCCUUUCCGGGGCUUAGUGCCGGAGCUAACGCAAUAAGCACUCCGCCUGGGGAGUACGACCGCAAGGUUGAAACUCAAAGGAAUUGACGGGGGCCCGCACAAGCGGUGGAGCAUGUGGUUUAAUUCGAAGCAACGCGAAGAACCUUACCAGGUCUUGACAUCCCGAUGCUAUUCUUAGAGAUAGGAAGUUACUUCGGUACAUCGGAGACAGGUGGUGCAUGGUUGUCGUCAGCUCGUGUCGUGAGAUGUUGGGUUAAGUCCCGCAACGAGCGCAACCCUUAUUGUUAGUUGCCAUCAUUAAGUUGGGCACUCUAGCGAGACUGCCGGUAAUAAACCGGAGGAAGGUGGGGAUGACGUCAAAUCAUCAUGCCCCUUAUGACCUGGGCUACACACGUGCUACAAUGGUCGGUACAACGAGUUGCGAGCCGGUGACGGCAAGCUAAUCUCUGAAAGCCGAUCUCAGUUCGGAUUGGAGGCUGCAACUCGCCUCCAUGAAGUCGGAAUCGCUAGUAAUCGCGGAUCAGCACGCCGCGGUGAAUACGUUCCCGGGCCUUGUACACACCGCCCGUCACACCACGAGAGUUUGUAACACCCGAAGUCGGUGAGGUAACCUUUUAGGGGCCAGCCG